CUUCAAUAAGAGCGGCGCUACAGUCUGAACACAGGCAUGUUUUAGUGAGAAACAUAUGCAAUCAACUUCCCGCUCAGUAAUGAGGUCAUUCACAAGAAAGGUUUUACUAGUGAUUGAUCUAACAUGUAAAAGUGCCAUAUUCAAUGAGUGUGGGCCACUCUGCCCCUGAGACAUCUGCCUAGAGGUAACCAAUUAAUUAACAACCACUCUGCCCCUGGGGCAUCUGCCUAGCGGUAACCAAUUAAUUAACAACCACUCUGCCCCUGGGGCAUCUGCCUAGCGGUAACCAAUUAAUUAACGACCACUCUGCCCCUGAGACAUCUGCCUAGAGGUAACCAAUUAAUUAACAACCACUCUGCCCCUGGGGCAUCUGCCUAGCGGUAACCAAUUAAUUAACGACCACUCUGCCCCUGAGACAUCUGCCUAGAGGUAACCAAUUAAUUAACAACCACUCUGCCCCUGGGGCAUCUGCCUAGCGGUAACCAAUUAAUUAACAACCACUCUGCCCCUGGGGCAUCUGCCUAGCGGUAACCAAUUAAUUAACGACCACUCUGCCCCUGAGACAUCUGCCUAGAGGUAACCAAUUAAUUAACAACCACUCUGCCCCUGGGGCAUCUGCCUAGCGGUAACCAAUUAAUUAACAACCACUCUGCCCCUGGGGCAUCUGCCUAGCGGUAACCAAUUAAUUAACGACCACUCUGCCCCUGGGGCAUCUGCCUAGCGGUAACCAAUUAAUUAACAACCACUCUGCCCCUGGGGCAUCUGCCUAGCGGUAACCAAUUAAUUAACGACCACUCAGCCCCUGAGACAUCUGCCUAGAGGUAACCAAUUAAUUAACAACCACUCUGCCCCUGGGGCAUCUGCCUAGCGGUAACCAAUUAAUUAACAACCACUCUGCCCCUGGGGCAUCUGCCUAGCGGUAACCAAUUAAUUAACGACCACUCUGCCCCUGAGACAUCUGCCUAGAGGUAACCAAUUAAUUAACAACCACUCUGCCCCUGGGGCAUCUGCCUAGCGGUAACCAAUUAAUUAACAACCACUCUGCCCCUGGGGCAUCUGCCUAGCGGUAACCAAUUAAUUAACAACCACUCUGCCCCUGAGACAUAUGCCUAGCGGUAACCAAUUAAUUAACGACCACUCUGCCCCUGAGACAUCUGCCUAGAGGUAAACAAUUAAUUAACAACCACUCUGCCCCUGGGGCAUCUGCCUAGCGGUAACCAAUUAAUUAACAACCACUCUGCCCCUGGGGCAUCUGCCUAGAGGUAACCAAUUAAUUAACAACCAUUCUGCCCCUGGGGUAUCUGCCUAGCGGUAACCAA
This is a long non-coding RNA of Oncorhynchus keta (chum salmon), 1319 nucleotides long. RefSeq lists it as uncharacterized. Lineage: Eukaryota; Metazoa; Chordata; Actinopteri; Salmoniformes; Salmonidae. The record is from RefSeq and is a predicted model, not a curated record. The transcript has 4 exons.